Vigna unguiculata (cowpea) is the source of this 1763-nucleotide long non-coding RNA. RefSeq lists it as uncharacterized. The record is from RefSeq and is a predicted model, not a curated record. Lineage: Eukaryota; Viridiplantae; Streptophyta; Magnoliopsida; Fabales; Fabaceae.
UCUUCCCAAAACCAAACUCUGCAAAUCCUUACUCUCAGCUCUAACGCUCUCAUAGGCGAGAUCACUGCCAAUUUAUCAAACCUCACUUUCCCCUGCUACCUCGACCUAUAGAAGAACCAAUUCUCCGGUGAGUUCCGUCCGAGUCACACUCGCCUCACUCGAUUCAUUUGUUUGGAUCUCUCCUCCUACAACGUCACCUAUCAAAUUCCUUUCAUCCCAGCUCCGUCUCUGUCUCCCUCCUCCAAUUUAACAUCGGUCAUGACGCAUAAGAAGUCCAAGAAGUUCUCCACGGGCGCCAUUGUCGCAAUCAUUGUCGGGUCAGUCUCAUCGCGGCGUUGUUGUUAUGUCGUCAGCAAAACUGCCAAAGCCUGUUGCGGAGGCAUGUGCCGUGCUGGUGGAGGCGGGGCCGUUGUCGUCGAAGGAGAACAUCACCGGGGGUUGAGUGGAGGCGGAAAGAAACAAGUUGGUGUUCUUUGAAGGGGGAUAUACAGUUUCGAUUUGGAGGAUUGGUUGAGGUCUUCGACGGAGAUGUUGGGGAAGGGCAAUUUGGGGACUUCGUACAAGGCGAUGUUGGAGGAAGGGACGAUGGUGGUGGUGAAGAGUUCAAGAUGUAAACAGAAGUUCUAGGGAAGAUUAAGCACGAUAGUGUGGUGCCUCAGGUAAAUAUUGAACUCAAAUGCAAAUCAAAUUGAUUGUUGUAGUUUAGGAACACCAUACUUAGUUUGCUCUUCGCGGAACAGGCCAACAAGGAGAAUGAUGAGGUUUAUACACAUGUUACUUUGCUUCCUCAGCCCGAGUUGGAAGGAAUGAAUUUAGAGGGCAAAGAACUUGAGGAAUUUGGAGCAGAAGAAGAGGGAGAUGAAAGAUCACCAACUAAAUCAACCCCUCACAUGCUCUGCAAAACACUAAUUGCCUCGGAUACUAGCACACAUGGGGGCUUCUUUGUUCCUCGUAGAGUUGCUGAAGACUGUUUUCCUCCUUUAGUGUGGCAUCUUUCAUAGCAUAAUAUUAAGCAUUAACACUUACAAAAAAGAAAUGAAAAGUAAAAUUAAUCAAACUUCUUACAUAAGUUAAAAUAAACUUUUGAUGCAUCUCAACUGUUGCAAAAUUUAGAUAACAAAGAUUCUAUUAGAGUGCAUAAAUUUGAUUGUAUAUCCUUGAUUAAGUUGGUGAACUAUUCUUUUGCAGGAUUAUAAGCAGCAGAGGCCUUCACAAGAGAUUAUUGCCAAAGACCUGCAUUGCCACUGUACAAUUAUUCUCAUUGACACGUAUCCGUUCUACAAUGUCAGAUCAUUGUUCCGUUAACGGCGUUUCUGAAAAUUUAACGGGAUGGACCACAUUGAUGCCAAUUAACUAAUUUGGGUACUAAAUAGAUACAAAGUUAAAAGCGGGUACCAUUUAGACACAUUGAAACGAAACUGGGUACGUUGCAAAUAAUUAUACCUAUAAUCUAUAAAGAAGAGGAUUUUGUUGCUCGCGUCAAAGAGAUUACGUCAGGCAAUGGAGUUGAAGUAGUCUAUAUACCUUUGAGGGAUCUUUGGCAUGCUUGAAGCUUAGGGGCUACAUGGUAAGUUUUGGACAGUCAUCAGGUUCACCUGAUCCAGUUCCAUCAUAGAAAAUUACCUACUUAUUAGGUAUUUAAAAAUGUAGCUUUGAUAUAGGCUUUAAUUGCAUUCACCUUCCUUUAAGUGAAUUACAAGAACAUUGUCUCUAUUUUGAUGCUUGCGAAGAUUUUUAAUUUGACUUUUAAUUGCAUUCAUCUA